Molecule: ribosomal RNA, 410 nt
Filed under: uncultured microorganism
Description: bacterial SSU rRNA
Rfam family: Bacterial small subunit ribosomal RNA
Source: RNAcentral
CAGCCGCCGCGGUAAUACGUAGGGUGCGAGCGUUAAUCGGAUUUACUGGGCGUAAAGCGUGCGCAGGCGGCCCGUUAAGACAGGUGUGAAAUCCCUGGGCUCAACCUAGGAAUUGCGCUUGUGACUGGCGGGCUCGAGUACGGUAGAGGGGGGUGGAAUUCCUGGUGUAGCAGUGAAAUGCGUAGAGAUCAGGAGGAACACCGAUGGCGAAGGCAGCCCCCUGGGCCUGUACUGACGCUCAUGCACGAAAGCGUGGGGAGCAACAAGGAUUAGAUACCCUGGUAGUCCACGCCCUAAACGAUGGGUACUAGCCGUUUGGUGCGCGAUAGCGCUGAGUGGCGAAGCUAACGCGUGAAGUACCCCGCCUGGGGAGUACGGCCGCAAGGUUGAAACUUAAAGGAAUUGGCGGG